This is a long non-coding RNA of Xenopus laevis (African clawed frog), 604 nucleotides long. RefSeq lists it as uncharacterized. Lineage: Eukaryota; Metazoa; Chordata; Amphibia; Anura; Pipidae. The transcript has 2 exons. The record is from RefSeq and is a predicted model, not a curated record.
CUGUUCCUAAACCUGUCAGUCUGUCAUCAGAUGACUCAGCUGUACCUGUGCCUUCUACUAAAGAUUGUGCCUUUCAGAGAAGAGAUUCCCUGCCAAAAGCCAAUAUCCACCUCCUCCACCCAGCCUCGGGAAUCAACACAGUCACUCCCUGUGAAAUUUAUUGAGGAAGCUGCCAGUUUCCAUGGUAACUGUCCUGCUUUUUAGCACAUACUUGUCUGGCAUGGGAAAAGAGAGCUACAGCUAGAGACUCUUCUGAUUAUGGGUAAUAUAAGGUUCCUUGUGGUCAUCUGGUCUUGCAAAAUAAAUGCCCAUUUGUGGAUAUAAUAUGCAUAUUAUUAUUAUGAUCCUUUAUGUAUCUAGCCAUGUGACAUCUAACAUUAAUAUCCUAAUUGUUAGUGAAAUUGUUGUUUCAUAUGAAAUGAUCUGUUCUGCAUAUAUCCGAUUUAAAUGUGCUGCAGAAAUAAUACAAAAUUAAAACAAGAGUUAAAUGUGAGAAACAACCCUUGCUUGUUUCGCUGACAAUUAGGUCAUUGUAUCACUGUGUUUCUGUAUCAGCGAUACAUUAGCUCCUUAUCCUCCAGCAAUAAACACAAUGCAUCUCUUC